This 2780-nucleotide ribosomal RNA is filed under the name Serratia marcescens. RNAcentral describes it as "bacterial LSU rRNA". It matches the Rfam family "Bacterial large subunit ribosomal RNA". Lineage: Bacteria; Pseudomonadati; Pseudomonadota; Gammaproteobacteria; Enterobacterales; Yersiniaceae. The record is from RNAcentral.
UUAAGUGACUAAGCGUACACGGUGGAUGCCUAGGCAGUCAGAGGCGAUGAAGGGCGUGCUAAUCUGCGAAAAGCGUCGGUAAGGUGAUAUGAACCGUUACAACCGGCGAUACCCGAAUGGGGAAACCCAGUGUGUUUCGACACACUAUCAUGUCAUGAAUACAUAGUGGCAUGAGGCGAACCGGGGGAACUGAAACAUCUAAGUACCCCGAGGAAAAGAAAUCAACCGAGAUUCCCCCAGUAGCGGCGAGCGAACGGGGAGGAGCCCAGAACCUGAAUCGGCUUGUGUGUUAGUGGAAGCGUCUGGAAAGUCGCGCAGCAAAGGGUGAUAGCCCCGUACACUAAAAUGCACAGGUCGUGAGUUCGAUGAGUAGGGCGGGACACGUGACAUCCUGUCUGAAUAUGGGGGGACCAUCCUCCAAGGCUAAAUACUCCUGACUGACCGAUAGUGAACCAGUACCGUGAGGGAAAGGCGAAAAGAACCCCGGCGAGGGGAGUGAAAUAGAACCUGAAACCGUGUACGUACAAGCAGUGGGAGCACCUUCGUGGUGUGACUGCGUACCUUUUGUAUAAUGGGUCAGCGACUUAUAUUUUGUAGCAAGGUUAACCGUAUAGGGGAGCCGUAGGGAAACCGAGUCUUAACUGGGCGAUUAGUUGCAAGGUAUAGACCCGAAACCCGGUGAUCUAGCCAUGGGCAGGUUGAAGGUUGGGUAACACUAACUGGAGGACCGAACCGACUAAUGUUGAAAAAUUAGCGGAUGACUUGUGGCUGGGGGUGAAAGGCCAAUCAAACCGGGAGAUAGCUGGUUCUCCCCGAAAGCUAUUUAGGUAGCGCCUCGUGAACUCAUCUUCGGGGGUAGAGCACUGUUUCGGCUAGGGGGCCAUCCCGGCUUACCAAACCGAUGCAAACUCCGAAUACCGAAGAAUGUUAUCACGGGAGACACACGGCGGGUGCUAACGUCCGUCGUGAAGAGGGAAACAACCCAGACCGCCAGCUAAGGUCCCAAAGUCAUGGUUAAGUGGGAAACGAUGUGGGAAGGCACAGACAGCCAGGAUGUUGGCUUAGAAGCAGCCAUCAUUUAAAGAAAGCGUAAUAGCUCACUGGUCGAGUCGGCCUGCGCGGAAGAUGUAACGGGGCUAAACCAUGCACCGAAGCUGCGGCAGCGACGCUUAGGCGUUGUUGGGUAGGGGAGCGUUCUGUAAGCCGUUGAAGGUGGCCUGUGAGGGUUGCUGGAGGUAUCAGAAGUGCGAAUGCUGACAUAAGUAACGAUAAAGCGGGUGAAAAGCCCGCUCGCCGGAAGACCAAGGGUUCCUGUCCAACGUUAAUCGGGGCAGGGUGAGUCGACCCCUAAGGCGAGGCUGAAAAGCGUAGUCGAUGGGAAACAGGUUAAUAUUCCUGUACUUGGUGUUACUGCGAAGGGGGGACGGAGAAGGCUAGGCUGGCCGGGCGACGGUUGUCCCGGUUUAAGCGUGUAGGGGGUGUGACCUGGUAAAUCCGGUUGCAUACUAACCCUGAGGCGUGAUGACGAUGCACUACGGUGCAGAAGUAGUUGAUGCCCUGCUUCCAGGAAAAUCCUCUAAGCUCCAGGUAACAUUAAAUCGUACCCCAAACCGACACAGGUGGUCAGGUAGAGAAUACCAAGGCGCUUGAGAGAACUCGGGUGAAGGAACUAGGCAAAAUGGUGCCGUAACUUCGGGAGAAGGCACGCUGGCAUGUAGGUGAAGUCCCUUGCGGAUGGAGCUGAAGCCAGUCGAAGAUACCAGCUGGCUGCAACUGUUUAAUAAAAACACAGCACUGUGCAAACACGAAAGUGGACGUAUACGGUGUGACGCCUGCCCGGUGCUGGAAGGUUAAUUGAUGGGGUCAGCCGCAAGGCGAAGCUCUUGAUCGAAGCCCCAGUAAACGGCGGCCGUAACUAUAACGGUCCUAAGGUAGCGAAAUUCCUUGUCGGGUAAGUUCCGACCUGCACGAAUGGCGUAAUGAUGGCCAGGCUGUCUCCACCCGAGACUCAGUGAAAUUGAACUCGCUGUGAAGAUGCAGUGUACCCGCGGCAAGACGGAAAGACCCCGUGAACCUUUACUAUAGCUUGACACUGAACAUUGAGCCUUGAUGUGUAGGAUAGGUGGGAGGCUUUGAAGCGUGGACGCCAGUCUGCGUGGAGCCAUCCUUGAAAUACCACCCUUUAAUGUUUGAUGUUCUAACUCNGGGGUGAGGACAGUGUCUGGUGGGUAGUUUGACUGGGGCGGUCUCCUCCCAAAGAGUAACGGAGGAGCACGAAGGUUAGCUAAUCACGGUCGGACAUCGUGAGGUUAGUGCAAAGGCAUAAGCUAGCUUGACUGCGAGAGUGACGGCUCGAGCAGGUACGAAAGUAGGUCUUAGUGAUCCGGUGGUUCUGAAUGGAAGGGCCAUCGCUCAACGGAUAAAAGGUACUCCGGGGAUAACAGGCUGAUACCGCCCAAGAGUUCAUAUCGACGGCGGUGUUUGGCACCUCGAUGUCGGCUCAUCACAUCCUGGGGCUGAAGUAGGUCCCAAGGGUAUGGCUGUUCGCCAUUUAAAGUGGUACGCGAGCUGGGUUUAGAACGUCGUGAGACAGUUCGGUCCCUAUCUGCCGUGGGCGUUGGAAGAUUGAGAGGGGUUGCUCCUAGUACGAGAGGACCGGAGUGAACGCACCACUGGUGUUCGGGUUGUCAUGCCAAUGGCAUUGCCCGGUAGCUAAGUGCGGAAAAGAUAAGCGCUGAAAGCAUCUAAGCGCGAAACUUGCCUCAAGAUGAGUCUUCCCU